AGAUAAUUUGAAGCAGCGGGUGACAUUCCACGAGAAUGGGACCGUCGAUAUGUGGGAGCAAAGACCACAGGCUCCCUGGUGUAAGUCGUGUCGGCCACGACAGCCACACCCAGACAGGGAUAGAGCCAUGGAGCUUGUAUUUUGUACGACACCGCCUCUAUCAUUGAAAUUUUGCCGCCAAUUCUAAAAAAAAAUACCGGCAAAGACAUAAAAAUCAACCAUAGAUUAAGAAAAACUAAACUCUAAGCGUUGAUGUGUAGUUUCCCAACCUCUAGAAGGCCGAAAAGACGACUGAAGGCCAGGAGGACCAGCAAAAGUCACGAACCCAAGUCGUCGGCGGCUAGGGCUUUUCUACGUACGACGGUUUUUAGUCCCACAUUCAGACCACAAAAGAUAAUCAAACGGUCCAGCUAAAAAGAAAAAUCAAAUGGUUGGGGCCCACCGUCGCCGUAGCCUAUCCGCCACUUAAUAAAUGACCCCUGCACCCCUCCUCAAUUCCGUCCAACAAACCUCUUUCCCCUCCCCGCAUCCCAAGCCUCCCAGCUCCAUCGCCACACGCUCGAACCCACUCCUCUCACGCUCAAGCGCACACCGCACCAACCAGAGCAGCCAUGGCUCUCACCGGCGGCGCCACCACCGCAGCGUGCAUCCUCGUCCUCCUCGCGCUCGCCGACGCCGCGGGGGCGGCUACCCGGGCGCCAGCGCCGGCGCCGGCGCCGGACUGCAUGGAGGCGUUGAUUAGCCUCGCAGACUGCCUCGACUAUGUGACGCCCAGCACCAAGUCGGCUCGGCCUUCCAAGGCUUGCUGCACGGAGGUGAAGACCGCCGUCGGCACCCCCGCCACCGUGAAGUGCCUCUGCGCUGCCAUGGACGCCAAGACAACUCCGAUACCGAUCAACAUGACACGGGUGCUCGCUCUCCCCACCGCCUGCGGCCAAUCCGCCUCCGUCUUGAACAAGUGCCACGCUGCACAUGGGCCGGGUGGUGCUCCUGCUGAAGCACCGUCACCUUCAGCAUCCAGUGGCGGCGCGACCGCUUCACCACCGAAGGCGAAUGUGGCGGCGAGGUCUCCGGGCGGCUCCGCCACCGUUCUCUUGGCAACUGUGGUGACUUCGCUGCUCGCCUUCUAUUACCUCUGAGGGCCAACAUCUCAGCCUCUCUCACGUGUUAUGUUGCACAGACCUUGUGACUCUGCGUUGCGCGGUGUUGUAAUCUGAGUUUACUUUGUUUAUCGGGAUGGGUUAUUAUCAUGUAGUGUCGUGGACUGAAUAUUGAGUGCGUAGUAAAUUGCAAUGUACCGUGGACUGGGUAUUUUGAAGUCGUUGCCAGUUAUGACACUUUAUUUACUUUUGAAUGCGCAGAUGACUUUGUUGACUUUGGAAUGCGCAGAUGAUCUGCUACGAUCUUCUUUUGGGUUACCAACAUGUUUUUCAUGAACUGUUUCGAAUUCAUGAACAUUUUUUGAAUUGACGAAAAUUUUCAAACUCAC
Molecule: ribosomal RNA, 1489 nt
Filed under: Triticum aestivum (bread wheat)
Lineage: Eukaryota; Viridiplantae; Streptophyta; Magnoliopsida; Poales; Poaceae
Description: partial small subunit ribosomal RNA
Source: RNAcentral